UACGUAGGGUGCAAGCGUUAAUCGGAAUUACUGGGCGUAAAGCGUGCGCAGGCGGUUCUAUAAGACAGAUGUGAAAUCCCCGGGCUCAACCUGGGAACUGCAUUUGUGACUGUAGAGCUGGAGUGCGGCAGAGGGGUAUGGAAUUCCGCGUGUAGCAGUGAAAUGCGUAGAUAUGCGGAGGAACACCGAUGGCGAAGGCAGUCCCCUGGGCCUGCACUGACGCUCAUGCACGAAAGCGUGGGGAGCAAACAGG
RNAcentral lists this ribosomal RNA (253 nucleotides) under uncultured bacterium. RNAcentral describes it as "partial 16S ribosomal RNA". It matches the Rfam family "Bacterial small subunit ribosomal RNA", at positions 524 to 776 of the family's 1533-position model. The record is from RNAcentral.